AUUCUCUCGGGGCUGCACCUGGAGGGUUUCCGGUACUCUACCAGUCUCAACUACGGGAGGGAGAGUCAAGUAGAGACAUAUCAAUUCCAUUCCUAGCUUCGGCAGUGGCUAGCGAGUGGAAGGCCAUCUGCUACAAGU
Ornithorhynchus anatinus (platypus) is the source of this 138-nucleotide non-coding RNA. Lineage: Eukaryota; Metazoa; Chordata; Mammalia; Monotremata; Ornithorhynchidae. The record is from Rfam.